This is an unclassified non-coding RNA of Microcebus murinus (gray mouse lemur), 98 nucleotides long. It matches the Rfam family "Y RNA". From Rfam's summary of the family: Y RNAs are components of the Ro ribonucleoprotein particle (Ro RNP), in association with Ro60 and La proteins. Lineage: Eukaryota; Metazoa; Chordata; Mammalia; Primates; Cheirogaleidae. The record is from Ensembl.
GGCUGGUCUGAGCGCAGUGGUGUUUACAACUAAUUAGUCACAACCAGUUACAGAUUCUUGUUCCUUCUCCACUCCCUCUGCUUCAGUUGACAGGAAGG